Long non-coding RNA from Stomoxys calcitrans (stable fly), 851 nucleotides. RefSeq lists it as uncharacterized. Lineage: Eukaryota; Metazoa; Arthropoda; Insecta; Diptera; Muscidae. The transcript has 2 exons. The record is from RefSeq and is a predicted model, not a curated record.
UAUAAACUGCAGGACGUGAGGAACCAAUUUCGGAUUCAAUUCAACCGCUCGUUGUAAAUCUUAAAAAAUCCAAGAAAUAACAUUUCGUCUGAUGGAAACAACUUCUCAACACUCCUAUAAUUUCCAAGGUUAACAUAUCGAAAUGCCUUUGGGGGUUAUUACGAUUGCCCAAUGUUGUCUGUGACAUUAGCGAGAUACCAGAAAUACUAUGCUGGGUGCACAUGCCCGAUACACUCAUUUGCGAGCGUUGAGAGUUGCUGUUGUUAAGCUGUUUUAGAAUCAUACAAAAACCAUAGACUGCCAUGCGUCGAGUUCCCAUUUCGCUGCAACGAUAUGAAAUUUAUUUUAGCGAUUUUAUUCUUUCUGUGCGUGUGUGUUGUACAAUGAGGCGGCAGCCCUUGCCGCUGAAGGACUUCAUCGGGUCAAUCUGAUACUUACCAAGAACUCAUAGCUUUACGUAGAAUUUCUAUGAAAGCAUCUCUAACUAGGGCAGAUAUUUUUAGAAUUGGCAAAAUGAAAGACAUCAUGCGCAUGGCUUGAUCGCCUGGAAGCUGAAAAGAGUAAAAAAACCAAAUCGGGCGAUAAUUAUAUAUGAGAGCUAUAUCCAAUUCUGGACCGAUUUCUAUGAAAUUCGCAAGUAAUGUCGGCAGCAGUAAAAAAUUUCUUCAUGCAAAAUUUCGAGAGAAUCGGUUAAGAAAUUACCAAAUUUUUGAAGUAUUAGUCCAAAUCGGGCGAUAAAUAUAUGUGGGAGCUAUAUCCAAAUCUGAACCGAUUUUUAUGAAAUUCACAAUUAAUGCCGGAAGUAACAAGAGAACACUUCGUACAAAAUUUCGAGAGAAUCGGUUAAGAAA